This 256-nucleotide ribosomal RNA is filed under the name uncultured bacterium. RNAcentral describes it as "partial 16S ribosomal RNA". It matches the Rfam family "Bacterial small subunit ribosomal RNA", at positions 99 to 353 of the family's 1533-position model. The record is from RNAcentral.
CGCACGGGUGAGUAACACGUAUCCAACCUGCCGUCUACUCUUGGACAGCCUUCUGAAAGGAAGAUUAAUACAAGAUGGCAUCAUGAGUCCGCAUGUUCACAUGAUUAAAGGUAUUCCGGUAGACGAUGGGGAUGCGUUCCAUUAGAUAGUAGGCGGGGUAACGGCCCACCUAGUCUUCGAUGGAUAGGGGUUCUGAGAGGAAGGUCCCCCACAUUGGAACUGAGAUACGGUCCAAACUCCUACGGGAGGCAGCAUG